Molecule: ribosomal RNA, 253 nt
Filed under: uncultured bacterium
Lineage: Bacteria
Description: partial 16S ribosomal RNA
Rfam family: Bacterial small subunit ribosomal RNA
Source: RNAcentral
GACGUAGGGUGCGAGCGUUGUCCGGAUUUAUUGGGCGUAAAGAGCUCGUAGGCGGCUCGUCGCGUCGACCGUGAAAACCCGCGGCUUAACUGCGGGCUUGCGGUUGAUACGGGCGGGCUAGAGUUCGGUAGGGGAGACUGGAAUUCCUGGUGUAGCGGUGAAAUGCGUAGAUAUCGAGAGGAACACCUGCGGCGAAGGCGGGUUGCUGGGCUGACACUGACGCUGAGGCGCGAAAGCCAGGGGAGCGAACGGG